UACGUAGGUGGCAAGCGUUGUCCGGAUUUAUUGGGUUUAAAGGGUGCGUAGGUGGCGCCGUAAGUCGGGUGUGAAAUUUCGGAGCUUAACUCCGAAACUGCAUUCGAUACUGCGGUGCUUGAGGACUGGAGAGGAGACUGGAAUUCAUGGUGUAGCAGUGAAAUGCGUAGAGAUCAUGAGGAAGACCAGUGGCGAAGGCGGGUCUCUGGACAGUUCCUGACACUGAGGCACGAAGGCCAGGGGAGCAAACGGG
This 253-nucleotide ribosomal RNA is filed under the name uncultured bacterium. RNAcentral's name for it is "partial 16S ribosomal RNA". It matches the Rfam family "Bacterial small subunit ribosomal RNA", at positions 524 to 776 of the family's 1533-position model. The record is from RNAcentral.